GAUCCUGGCUCAGGACGAACGCUGGCGGCGUGCCUAAUACAUGCAAGUCGAGCGGAGUUCAUCGGGAGCUUGCUUCGGAUGAACUUAGCGGCGGACGGGUGAGUAACACGUAGGCAACCUGCCCGUAAGACCGGGAUAACUACCGGAAACGGUAGCUAAUACCGGAUACGCAAGUUUCUCGCAUGAGGGACUUGGGAAAGGCGGAGCAAUCUGUCACUUACGGAUGGGCCUGCGGCGCAUUAGCUAGUUGGG
RNAcentral lists this ribosomal RNA (252 nucleotides) under uncultured bacterium. RNAcentral's name for it is "partial 16S ribosomal RNA". It matches the Rfam family "Bacterial small subunit ribosomal RNA", at positions 15 to 253 of the family's 1533-position model. The record is from RNAcentral.